GACGAACGCUGGCGGCGUGCCUAAUACAUGCAAGUAGAACGCUGAAGGAGGAGCUUGCUUCUCUGGAUGAGUUGCGAACGGGUGAGUAACGCGUAGGUAACCUGCCUGGUAGCGGGGGAUAACUAUUGGAAACGAUAGCUAAUACCGCAUAACAGUAGAUAUCGCAUGAUAUCUACUUGAAAGGUGCAAUUGCAUCACUACCAGAUGGACCUGCGUUGUAUUAGCUAGUUGGUGAGGUAACGGCUCACCAAGGCGACGAUACAUAGCCGACCUGAGAGGGGGAUCGGCCACACUGGGACUGAGACACGGCCCAGACUCCUACGGGAGGCAGCAGUAGGGAAUCUUCGGCAAUGGACGGAAGUCUGACCGAGCAACGCCGCGUGAGUGAAGAAGGUUGUCGGAUCGUAAAGCUCUGUUGUAAGAGAAGAACGAGUGUGAGAGUGGAAAGUUCACACUGUGACGGUAUCUUACCAGAAAGGGACGGCUAACUACGUG
RNAcentral lists this ribosomal RNA (495 nucleotides) under uncultured bacterium. RNAcentral's name for it is "partial 16S ribosomal RNA". It matches the Rfam family "Bacterial small subunit ribosomal RNA", at positions 28 to 507 of the family's 1533-position model. The record is from RNAcentral.